Callorhinus ursinus (northern fur seal) is the source of this 686-nucleotide long non-coding RNA. RefSeq lists it as uncharacterized. NCBI's taxonomy places the organism in Eukaryota, Metazoa, Chordata, Mammalia, Carnivora, Otariidae. The record is from RefSeq and is a predicted model, not a curated record.
CCCCAAGAUGGAAUUACACCCUUUCUUCCUAAUCCAGGCAGCUCUGGCCACUGCCAUUUUUUCAUGAUAUAAUCAAAGGACAGUAAAUAACAUCUUCCCAGAGAACACAAAUGGAGAAAUACUGUCAGCAUAUAUUACACGAAGUUACAAAGUGGACGUGAAUGCCACAACAAACAAGCAGGCAUCUUGCUUCUUCUCCAACUUCAAAGUGAGACGACAGAAUCUCCUAGUGAUGAAGGACAAUUUAUUCAUUCCCAGCAACAAACAUUUAAUUACCAAAUUAAUCCCAUGUCAUUGUACUGCAUGAUGGAAAAUCAGCAGCAGCUUCUAAAUGGAGAAAGACAAUGGAUUUGAAAACAUCUUGGGGGUUUUCCUCGCAGACUGAAUGUCCAGGAUCCCACUGGCGGAGCUCACAUACACAAACCUGCGGGCAAAGCCAGCCUCAGUCAAUCCCAGAAAAAGCACCAAACCUUCCUGACUUGUGUUCAAGGGUUCCAGUGAGGAUGUGGUUAAGAAUAUGGACUCUCGAGUCAGACUGCCUAUGCCUAGCUCCAAGCUUGGCCACGGGAUCUUGGGUGAGCUUUUAGCUAUAUAUGCCUCAGUUUCCUUGCAUCCUGUAAAAUGAGAAUUAGAGUGCCUUACUUCAGAGCCUUGUUGGGGGGAUUAAAUGAAAUAAGACACACGAA